AAAAUAAUCCUACCCUUUGUGAAUUUUGUUUGUUUGAAUAAUUUUUUUUUUUAAAAAAAUUAUUGGAGUCUUUCCCUUUAGAGUUUGCUUUUGAGUUUGUAAAAGAAUUCGAAAACAUCUAAAGGGGAUGGUCAAUAAUUUUUUUUGAAAAAAGACAUUUUUUAAAAUUAAACUUUUUGUAUUCAUUUGUCUAAAAAUUAUUUUUAUAAUAUAAAAACAACUUUUGACAAUGGAUCUCUUGGUUCUCGCAACGAUGAAGAACGCAGCAAAAUGCGAUAAGUAGUGUGAAUUGCAGAAUACGUGAAUCAUCGAAUCUUUGAACGCAUAUUGCACUUUUUUAGUUUACUAAAAAAGUAUGUCUGUUUGAGUAUCAGUAAAAUAUUCUCAUAAAAAUCAUUGUAUUUUUAUGGUUAUGAGUGUUUUACAACGAUACAAGUUGUUUCACUUUAAAUUUUUUUUUAAUAUUGAAAUUUUUCUAAUUUUAAUAAUUAAAAUUGGAUAAAAUUUUCCCGUCAAAAGGAAUAACCUAAACAAUUUUAAAUGAUUAAUUUUAGCAAAAUUUUCGUAAAAAGGAAAAUUUUUAUUAAAAUAACUUGAUCUCAAAUCAGAUAAGAGUACCCGCUGAACUUAAGCAUAUCAAUAAGCGGAGGAAAAGAAACUAACAAGGAUUCCUUAGUAACGGCGAGUGAAGCGGGAAGAGCUCAAAUUUGAAAUCUUCAAGGUUUUACCUUGACGAAUUGUAGUUUAAAGAAGUGUUUUCUGCUGAAGUUUUGGUAAAAGUUCUUUGGAAUAGGACAUCAUAGAGGGUGAGAAUCCCGUAUUUGACCAUUAUUUUCAGCUUUGUGAUACACUUUCAAAGAGUCGGAUUGUUGGGAAUGCAGACCAAAAUGGGUGGUAAAUUUCAUCUAAAGCUAAAUAUUGGCGAGAGACCGAUAGCGAACAAGUACCGUGAGGGAAAGAUGAAAAGAACUUUGAAAAGAGAGUUAAACAGUACGUGAAAUUGUCAAAAGGGAAGCGUUUGACACCAGUGUUGUUUUCUCGAAAAUCAAUUAAAAAUGGCUCGAUUUUGUAUUGCUGAGACCUUAAAAGCUCACUGUACAUUUUUCGUGUCUUUUUUAAUGCACUUUUCGUUUAACAAGUCAACAUCAGUUUCUUUUGUUGUAAAAGGGUCAUUGGAAGGUGGCUUUCUUUUCGGAGAAAGUGUUUAUAGCCUUUGGCCUCUGCAAUCGGAGAGACUGAGGUCUGCAGCGUAGACUCUUCGGGUUAGAUACAUUUGUGCUAAGUUAUAGCUUUUUAUAGACAACUGUUGACUAUAAUUAGUCUUGUAGCUUACUCGCUUAUGCUAUUU
Molecule: unclassified non-coding RNA, 1348 nt
Filed under: uncultured Neocallimastigales
Lineage: Eukaryota; Fungi; Neocallimastigomycota; Neocallimastigomycetes; Neocallimastigales
Description: partial contains internal transcribed spacer 1, 5.8S ribosomal RNA, internal transcribed spacer 2, and large subunit ribosomal RNA
Rfam family: Eukaryotic large subunit ribosomal RNA (bases 595-1348)
Source: RNAcentral